AUGUGGUGGCACCGCAGGAGCCAUGGGGACCUGCCUCCCGGCCAUGAACGCUCAGGACAAAUCCGGGGUGGAUGGCAACGACCUGUGGCCGGGGGUACCAAAAAUGAAAGAGACACGGAGGACCCUUGGCUUCAAAGUGGCGGAGAAGCGACCGCGAGGAGAAUUCGGGGCACGCGAGGCGGCCACCGGAGACCCGGGGCCAGGGGCACGGACGCCCAGCGGGCCUGGGGCGGUGUGUUCCCCAGCCGGAGCUGCGUGGAGGAGCAGGGCAUCACAGCGCCUGCUCCAGCCGGGAUAAGGGCCUGGGCGAAUCGCCGCCGCCGACGCUCGCGCUGGGACGCAGCGAGAGAGGGUCACCCCAGACUCUGCCCAAUCUUUGGAGCCGGCUUCGUUCGGUUGAUCGAUGAAGGCGUCAGGCCGGCCCACCAUAAAGUCAAUGCAAUCGAUGCGGACGUCCACGACCGCUCGAAACAGAGACCUCUCCCCGUUGCUGCGCGCUCGCCGAGUUCCACGCAACAGGACUUGGAAUCCGACACCCGCAACGUCGCGCGCCGACUCGCUCUCCUGAGCUCCAGGUUCCACACCUGCGAAAUGGGUUUGCUACACCGUGCGGUUUAUUGGAGGCGACGUUUGGGAGAUCCUCACGAGAAGGACCGCGUUUUUCUACACUCGUUAAAUGCAGCAAUCAGAGCGGGUGGGCUCCCCAUUUCCUGGACAGGGAAACAGAGUCACGGGGCGGGGAGUCGUACCGCUCCUCUCCGAGGGAGCUGGGGAUCAACCAGGGCCUGCCCAGCUCUUUGUCUUGGCAGGAGGCGCGCACAGUGGGGAUUCCUUUUCUGCACUGCCCUUUUGGGGAAGAAAUUCCAAUAA
Molecule: long non-coding RNA, 870 nt
Filed under: Oryctolagus cuniculus (rabbit)
Lineage: Eukaryota; Metazoa; Chordata; Mammalia; Lagomorpha; Leporidae
Description: lncRNA (ENSOCUG00000032562.1)
Source: RNAcentral